CCUACGGGUGGCAGCAGUGAGGAAUAUUGGUCAAUGGACGAGAGUCUGAACCAGCCAAGCCGCGUGAAGGACGAAGGUGCCAAGCAUUGUAAACUUCUUUUGUCAAGGGACAAAAUCAGGCUCGAGAGCCUGACCGAGGGUACUUGAAGAAAAAGCAUCGGCUAACUCCGUGCCAGCAGCCGCGGUAAUACGGAGGAUGCGAGCGUUAUCCGGAUUUAUUGGGUUUAAAGGGUGCGUAGGCGGGCUGUUAAGUCAGCGGUAAAAGCCCGGGGCUCAACCCCGGCGAGCCGGUGAAAAUGGCUGUCUUGAGAUGGCGAGAGGUAUGCGGAAUGCGCAGUGUAGCGGUGAAAUGCUUAGAUAUUGCGCAGAACUCCGAUUGCGAAGGCAGCAUACCGGCGGCGAUCUGACGCUGAGGCACGAAAGCGUGGGUAUCGAACAGGAUUAGAUACCCCUGUAGUC
RNAcentral lists this ribosomal RNA (459 nucleotides) under uncultured bacterium. Its description in RNAcentral is "partial 16S ribosomal RNA". It matches the Rfam family "Bacterial small subunit ribosomal RNA", at positions 338 to 795 of the family's 1533-position model. The record is from RNAcentral.